UCGGAGCAUAAUUUCUGGAAGGAAAUUUGUUCACCGACAGAAAAAACAUCAAAAAUACACAUCUUAUUAAAACCAAAUAAUACUUUUAGAUGGAACUCAAUUAGUUCUACUUAGCAGUAGGUACACUAUAAUUUCUAAACUAGUUUUGUCCCUCGAGAGAUCAACAAUUACGUUAGUGAAUUAUACUUCCAAUUCGUAUAUAUUUACUCGAGUUAAUUUGAAUCGCUCGAGAAGGGACAUAACAUUUAAUAAGCUUAAUUCAACUAUUUUGUAUACAUCUUGUAAAUUCAAAGUGCACC
Molecule: non-coding RNA, 299 nt
Organism: Cinara cedri
Lineage: Eukaryota; Metazoa; Arthropoda; Insecta; Hemiptera; Aphididae
Source: the annotation of a GenBank genome assembly